GACGAACGCUGGCGGCGUGCUUAACACAUGCAAGUCGAGCGGAAAGGCCCUUCGGGGUACUCGAGCGGCGAACGGGUGAGUAACACGUGAGUAACCUGCCCCAGACUUUGGGAUAACCCUCGGAAACGGGGGCUAAUACCGGAUACGACACAGCUUCGCAUGGGGUCUGUGUGGAAAGUUUUUCGGUUUGGGAUGGGCUCGCGGCCUAUCAGCUUGUUGGUGGGGUGAUGGCCUACCAAGGCGACGACGGGUAGCCGGCCUGAGAGGGCGACCGGCCACACUGGGACUGAGCCACGGCCCAGACUCCUACGGGAGGCAGCAGUGGGGAAUAUUGCACAAUGGGCGGAAGCCUGAUGCAGCGACGCCGCGUGAGGGAUGACGGCCUUCGGGUUGUAAACCUCUUUCAGCAGGGACGAAGCGUAAGUGACGGUACCUGCAGAAGAAGCGCCGGCCAACUACGUG
RNAcentral lists this ribosomal RNA (462 nucleotides) under uncultured bacterium. Its description in RNAcentral is "partial 16S ribosomal RNA". It matches the Rfam family "Bacterial small subunit ribosomal RNA", at positions 28 to 507 of the family's 1533-position model. The record is from RNAcentral.